Molecule: ribosomal RNA, 518 nt
Filed under: Staphylococcus sp. SKL71207
Lineage: Bacteria; Bacillati; Bacillota; Bacilli; Caryophanales; Staphylococcaceae
Description: bacterial SSU rRNA
Rfam family: Bacterial small subunit ribosomal RNA
Source: RNAcentral
GGGGGACAGAGUGACAGGUGGUGCAUGGUUGUCGUCAGCUCGUGUCGUGAGAUGUUGGGUUAAGUCCCGCAACGAGCGCAACCCUUAAGCUUAGUUGCCAUCAUUAAGUUGGGCACUCUAAGUUGACUGCCGGUGACAAACCGGAGGAAGGUGGGGAUGACGUCAAAUCAUCAUGCCCCUUAUGAUUUGGGCUACACACGUGCUACAAUGGACAAUACAAAGGGUAGCAAAACCGCGAGGUCAAGCAAAUCCCAUAAAGUUGUUCUCAGUUCGGAUUGUAGUCUGCAACUCGACUACAUGAAGCUGGAAUCGCUAGUAAUCGUAGAUCAGCAUGCUACGGUGAAUACGUUCCCGGGUCUUGUACACACCGCCCGUCACACCACGAGAGUUUGUAACACCCGAAGCCGGUGGAGUAACCUUUUGGAGCUAGCCGUCGAAGGUGGGACAAAUGAUUGGGGUGAAGUCGUAACAAGGUAGCCGUAUCGGAAGGUGCGGCUGGAUCACCUCCUUUCUAAGGA